GAAUGGUGUCUUGUCUCCGUUUGUGUUGACAAGUUUUAUUUCUAAUUUUUUCCUGUUUCGUCUCCUCUUUUUUAUUUUCAGUUCAGAUACAACCAAGAGACGGUGCAUAUCGUCCCUCCCAGGGAAGAAGAGAUUCAACAUCCUUUUCUCCAACCCAUCAUCUGGAGCAACAACAGUUUCCGGUGACAACAGCACAGCUGGAUCACAGCUGGAUCAGCUGUCGGUCUGCAGUUGUCUAGUUGCUGAAGGUGACAAAGCUCUGAAGGUCCUGCCAACUCUCCUUCCCCCAUCAGCAAGACGGGAGGAAAAGUCUUCAGACCCACAGGUCGUUUAUUGAUACGCAGCCUAAACACCUUUCAAAAACUCACACGGAUGUUCGUUUCUGACCAGGACGACCAGUCACCGCUGGCCACUGAGCAACUACACGAAGCAGCUGGAUGCUACUCUCUGCCUUGGAGUCCUUUCAACCAGCUGGUUCACUGCACAGGGUCCCAUCAGUCCACAACAGGGUGAGAUGUCUGCAGUUCACUCAGAAUUCAACAGAGGUCACUAGAAACUGCUCUUGGAUGAAGUUAGCUCAUCAACCUCUUCAGAGCCGUGUCAUCCUUCAUAGCAAGAGGAGUACCAGAUCCGACAGAUCAGACCGAAAGGAGAAAAAACACAGACACAUAUAGAAAGACAUGGAUGUGACCAUAGACUACAACAACUGCACUUUUCUUAAAUUUCAUAUCAAACAUCUCAUCAAUGUAUUUUCCAACAGCCAUCCCCUAACAAGAAUUAAGCAAAGUACAGUAAGGUUGAUGGUCCUGUAUAAAUACAGUUUAAUACAAAUUCUGUUGCUUUGGUGCAUUGCGACGUUCUGAGAGCCACAUUAGGUCAGAGGUCUCCGACAGUUUAUGUAAAACAUGCUUUGAUCUUCGCUCCAACCAAAAACAGUACCACUUUAAGUGCAUCAUCCUAUAACAAAAGGAGUAUACGCUUGCCACAUAAUACUGCCAUUACACCCCUUGUACGAUUGAAACCCACUUUUUUUGCUCUCGCAAUUAUAGGCCCCUUCAGGAGGGGACGUGUUUAUGCCCAGCAGUUAGCAAUGCAUUGAUUUAAUACGUUUCUAAUCAGGACAUACAGCUUCAGGGCCUGAAAUGUUCAUUUUUCCUGCUGCUUACAAAGUAGCCUUUGAUUUUCUGUCACGGCAGUAAUUACCGUUUUUUGCUACUGGA
This is a long non-coding RNA of Seriola aureovittata, 1220 nucleotides long. RefSeq lists it as uncharacterized. Lineage: Eukaryota; Metazoa; Chordata; Actinopteri; Carangiformes; Carangidae. The record is from RefSeq and is a predicted model, not a curated record. The transcript is spliced from 6 exons.